Molecule: long non-coding RNA, 824 nt
Organism: Solanum lycopersicum (tomato)
Lineage: Eukaryota; Viridiplantae; Streptophyta; Magnoliopsida; Solanales; Solanaceae
Source: RefSeq, a predicted model, not a curated record
UCGAAUCACUCAGAGAAACAACAAAAAUUCAUAAAUUUUAAAUUUUAAAUUUGUGAAGGUGCUCCCUCCAUGUCACCACCUCAUCUCUCUCUAGCUUCAAAAAAUUAAAGUAGGAGAAUCACUUCACUCCAACCUAUAAAGAAAAACCAAUCACCCAUAGUCCAAGUGGUAAAUCUAAUACUCUCUACUUUUGCUUCUCUCCUUUUGUCUAAUUCCUUCAUAAAUUUCUCACUUUCUAUGUCUUUCUCUUCUAAGGUAAAAAUAAAAUAAAAUAAAUCUAUAGUAAAAACUCUAUACUUUUGUGUUCCCUUUUUCUUCUUCUUACCCUAAUAGAAAUUUUAAAAAUAUAUACAUAUGGAUAGUAGUAGUGAUAGAAUUAGGUUGUACAAGAGGUUAUGGGGUUCAAUUGUAUUAUUAUUAGUUGUUUGGUUAUUGUUGGUUAGUGUCUUGGAGAAUAGAGCAACAAAGAUAAUGAAGAAGCAAAGGACAAAUAGUAUUCAUUCAAAGAUGAAUCUCAACUUCAUGAGUAUUAAAAGAAGAGUUCCUAAUGGCCCAGACCCUAUCCAUAACAGAAGAGUGGGAAAUUCUCAUCAACCACAUGGUCAAGUUACAAAAGGAGAAUUUGGCAAGCCAUGAAUAAAUAAAUUAAUUUAAUUAAAUUUCCUAUCUUGUAUAUGUAAUUUAUUGAAAAUGGGUUUGUCAAUAUAUAUUGUGAGAGAUGAAAUUUCAUAUUAAACCCCAGCUUAAUUUAAUUUGUUAGUUAUUUUUACUACAAAAGUUGUUUAGAAUCUUAAGAGGUGGAAUGAAAAGAUAUUAAUAAUGAA